Molecule: long non-coding RNA, 1092 nt
Filed under: Felis catus (domestic cat)
Lineage: Eukaryota; Metazoa; Chordata; Mammalia; Carnivora; Felidae
Description: lncRNA (ENSFCAG00000052764.1)
Source: RNAcentral
CAACGGGUCUGGGACAGGGCUUCAGAAUUUGCAUUUCUAGCAGGUUCUCAGGUGCUGGCUGCUGCUGGCAUUUGGAUCCCAGUUUGGGAACCCCUGUCGUUGUGGUAGCUCAAAAACACCUGGGGAAGGGGACACUUUGGGGAAAAUGCAGAUUUCCAGGCCGCCCCAUGAGAAACACCGAUUCAGUGGGUCUGUGCUCUGGGGUCCUAAAGGGUGAGACUCCCCUCUUUCAAGAAGCACUGUCUUCGACCACGGGCUCUCUCUGAGGUCAGAGCCAGAGAGGAAGCACAUUGCUGUUCCCUCCUUCGUAACCCGAGACCCUCCCCUCCUUUGGGUGGCACACAGAGGUAAACCAAGCUGGCCCAGGCUCCCCACGGAGUUAGAGAUUUGAGCCCCUGUGGACUUUCGAGAGUCUGUUCGUGUGACCACCCCUCGCUCCUCUCUCCUUCUUUGGGGAGCCAGCUGCCGGGGCUUGAUAUGAUGGGUUGUAGCUGGCGGGCCCAUCAGGGUCCCCUGGGGCGGAUCCAGGGGUUCGGGGUCCAGCCAGGGAGGCUGGCAGCCGCUUCUGGGAAGCAGUGUGGCCGGCAGGCCCUCAGUGGGUGGAGGUUAAGGCCGAGCCUGAGGCGGGCUCUGCAGAGAGCAGUCCGGCCUCUCCUUCCUCUGUGAGCCUCGGAUGCACAGAGCAGGGGCUGGGCGUGGUCUCUGCAAGGGGGAGCCUCCCCUCUCCCACCUGCCCUGGCGGUCACUCUGGGGUUAUCUCCGAAGCAAAAGCCACCCCCCUCCAAGACGACCUGCCCGUUGCUCACACAGCCAGAGAUGCACGUUUAAGAUCUGGGUUGCUCAGGCUGGACCCGAGCAGCAGAAGCUUUCAGCGGCCGAGAAAGGCCGCCGGCAGCUCGCCUCUGUGCCGAUGCCCGUCCUCUAGAAAGGAUGUCACGAAGAAUCGUGGAGCCCGGGGCAGAGAGUUCUACUUGGGCUCAGAAGACGGGUCUGAGGUCCGACUCUGGCCUAGGCUGCCAGCAUCACUGUUGAGUGCUUAGGGGCAGUAGUGAUGGUGACGAGGACCGCUAGGGGCCUGUGACGAUGGAUGAA